CCCCGACCAGGGCCCAGGCUGGGGAGGGGCCUGCAGCCAAGGUUAAGCAGGAACAAGAUAAAAGGAAACAAUGUGGUAACUGUAAGUAUACUCCAGCAAGCAGUGGCUUUAAAAAUUGAGUGUGCCUAAAAAUCAUUGGUACAAAUCCCUGGAUCCCAUCCUUAGAGAUGCUGAUUCAUUUGGUCUGAAAUGGGACCCGAUAAUUUGCAUUUCAACCAAGCUUCCUGAUAAUGUGGAUGGUCUCGGUCUAUGGUCCACACUGAGGAACACUGUACCCCAGAGAACACCAGACUUAGGACUCACCUCGAAGAAAAUGUAGUUCAUGGGACAGAAGGGAAUUUUGUACAUUUGCUUCAUGUUUAUAGAAAAACUUAAGAACAAGAAUUCAAUAAAAUUGGAACGCAAAAGAGAAAA
Long non-coding RNA from Myotis myotis, 414 nucleotides. RefSeq lists it as uncharacterized. The record is from RefSeq and is a predicted model, not a curated record. The transcript is spliced from 2 exons. Lineage: Eukaryota; Metazoa; Chordata; Mammalia; Chiroptera; Vespertilionidae.